AGUGAACGGCUGGCGGCAGGCCUUAACAACAUUGCAAGUCGAGCGGCCAGCGCGGGGCAACCUGGCGGCGAGCGGCGGACGGGUGAGGAAUGCAUCGGAAUCUACCCUGUCGUGGGGGAUAACGUAGGGAAACUUACGCUAAUACCGCAUACGACCGAGAGGUGAAAGUGGGGGACCGCAAGGCCUCACGCGAUUGGAUGAGCCGAUGCCGGAUUAGCUAGUUGGAGGGGUAAAGGCCCACCAAGGCGACGAUCCGUAGCUGGUCUGAGAGGAUGAUCAGCCACAUUGGGACUGAGACACGGCCCAAACUCCUACGGGAGGCAGCAGUGGGGAAUAUUGGACAAUGGGCGCAAGCCUGAUCCAGCCAUGCCGCGUGUGUGAAGAAGGCCUUCGGGUUGUAAAGCACUUUUGUUCGGGANGAAAUCGUGCGGAUUAAUACUCUGUACGGAUGACGGUACCGAAAGAAUAAGCACCGGCUAACUUCGUGCCAGCAGCCGCGGUAAUACGAAGGGUGCAAGCGUUACUCGGAAUCACUGGGCGUAAAGCGUGCGUAGGCGGUUCGUUAAGUCUGCUGUGAAAGCCCUGGGCUCAACCUGGGAACUGCAGUGGAUACUGGCGGACUAGAGUGUGAUAGAGGAUGGUGGAAUUCCCGGUGUAGCGGUGAAAUGCGUAGAGAUCGGGAGGAACACCAGUGGCGAAGGCGGCCAUCUGGAUCAACACUGACGCUGAGGCACGAAAGCGUGGGGAGCAAACAGGAUUAGAUACCCUGGUAGUCCACGCCCUAAACGAUGCGAACUGGACGUUGGUUGCAACUUGGCAAUCAGUGUCGAAGCUAACGCGUUAAGUUCGCCGCCUGGGGAGUACGGUCGCAAGACUGAAACUCCAAGGAUUGACGGGGGCCCGCACAAGCGGUGGAGUAUGUGGUUUAAUUCGAUGCAACGCGAAGAACCUUACCUGGCCUUGACAUCCAGUGAACUUUCCAGAGAUGGAUUGGUGCCUUCGGGAACACUGAGACAGGUGCUGCAUGGCUGUCGUCAGCUCGUGUCGUGAGAUGUUGGGUUAAGUCCCGCAACGAGCGCAACCCUUGUCCUUAGUUGCCAGCACGUAAAGGUGGGAACUCUAAGGAGACUGCCGGUGACAAACCGGAGGAAGGUGGGGAUGACGUCAAGUCAUCAUGGCCCUUACGGCCAGGGCUACACACGUACUACAAUGGUCGGUACAGAGGGUUGCAAUACCGCGAGGUGGAGCCAAUCCCAGAAAACCGAUCCCAGUCCGGAUCGGAGUCUGCAACUCGACUCCGUGAAGUCGGAAUCGCUAGUAAUCGCGGAUCAGCUAUGCCGCGGUGAAUACGUUCCCGGGCCUUGUACACACCGCCCGUCACACCAUGGGAGUUGGUUGCUCCAGAAGUAGGUAGUCUAACCGCAGGGGGGACGCUUACCACGGAAUGGUCAAUGACUGGGGUG
This 1463-nucleotide ribosomal RNA is filed under the name Tahibacter aquaticus. Its description in RNAcentral is "16S ribosomal RNA". It matches the Rfam family "Bacterial small subunit ribosomal RNA". The record is from RNAcentral. Lineage: Bacteria; Pseudomonadati; Pseudomonadota; Gammaproteobacteria; Lysobacterales; Rhodanobacteraceae.